Molecule: long non-coding RNA, 338 nt
Filed under: Equus caballus (horse)
Lineage: Eukaryota; Metazoa; Chordata; Mammalia; Perissodactyla; Equidae
Description: lncRNA (ENSECAG00000052004.1)
Source: RNAcentral
AUUUUUUACUUCUACCUUCUAAAUGAUAGUUUUAGUAUCUGAUCUAUUACAAAUAUAGGACAGAACUUAACUGAAAAGAAAGUACAGAGAAUAAAAGAAAAAUAGCAUGAAAGAAUAAACAUAACAUUUAAUAAGAACCUGUCAAAGUUGAUGAAGUAUUGAUGCCUUUGAUGCCAAAAGACAAGACUGAGCUGGUCACAAGAUGACUGCAUAUCUUCACAGCCAUAAAGAUGAUAAAACCCAUGCUCUAGGAUUUUUAUAUUUGCAGGAGAUGCAUAACGUCUGUGCAUCAGUUGUACAAACAAAUAAACCGGUUUAAACCAUUUUCACUUGCUUAU